RNAcentral lists this ribosomal RNA (454 nucleotides) under uncultured bacterium. Its description in RNAcentral is "bacterial SSU rRNA". It matches the Rfam family "Bacterial small subunit ribosomal RNA", at positions 790 to 1234 of the family's 1533-position model. The record is from RNAcentral.
GUACCAACGACCGUAAAACGAAUAGUACGAACUUAGGAGGUUGUGCCCUUGAGGCGUGGCUUCCGGAGCUAACGCGUUAAGUCGACCGCCUGGGGGAGUACGGCCGCAAGGUUAAAACUCAAAUGAAUGACGGGGGCCCGCACAAGCGGUGGAGCAUGUGGUUUAAAUUCGAUGCAAACGCGAAGAACCUUACCUGGUCUUGACAUCCACAGAACWUUUCCAGAGAUGGAUUGGUGCCUUCGGGAACUGUGAGACAGGUGCUGCAUGGCUGUCGUCAGCUCGUGUUGUGAAAUGUUGGGUUAAGUCCCGCAACGAGCGCAACCCUUGWUCACUGUUGCCAGCACGUUAUGGUGGGGACUCAGUGGAGACCGCCGGGGUCAACUCGGAGGAAGGUGGGGAUGACGUCAAGUCAUCAUGCCCCUUAUGUCCAGGGCUUCACGCAUGCUACAAUGGC